UUCCUGGGCUCCCUCACUGGCUUCGUCCACUUAAACUUUUAACGUACACAUGUAGAGAGCUGAAACUCCAGGGGUAACAUGGGACAGGUCCUCUUGAUUUAAUGAAAACAGAAGAUCAACUGGACCGGGUAGCAAGAAAUAAGGCUUAAGAAGCACUGGGUUGGGCCUCACCCUAUGAGCAGGGAACCCACCUUCCCCCUCAACAAAAGAAAAGAUGACUUUGGAAUGUUCUGGAUUCCCACAGCUGGGAAUGUUCCUACUUUUUUUUCAGUUUCUCUGCAGAAGACAGCAAGAUGCCCCAGGGAAUGUUUGUGAAAAAGGAUGACUGGAUGGGAAGCAAGCU
RNAcentral lists this long non-coding RNA (343 nucleotides) under Homo sapiens (human). Its description in RNAcentral is "non-protein coding lnc-CCDC140-1:6". Lineage: Eukaryota; Metazoa; Chordata; Mammalia; Primates; Hominidae. The record is from RNAcentral.